CAAUGGCAGGAAAUCCAAAUGUGACCUGGGGAGGACCGGUGCCUGGUAAUACAAACAUGAACUGGGGACCUCCGAGUCAAGGUCCAGGAUGGACUGCACCCAGCCAAGGUCCUGUACCUGGAAAUGCAGUUACUAAUUGGGUCCCACCUGGUCAAGGACCACCAUCGGUAAGUGCAAAUCCAGGUUGGGCUCCACCUGGUCAAGGGCCAACACUUGGGAAUGCCAAUCCUGGUUGGAGUGCACCCAAUGCAACUCAGAAUGGAGAUAGGUUCUCAAAUCAAAGGGAUCGAGGUUCUCAUGGUGAUCCUGGUUUCAGUGGUGGCAAACCUUGGAAUAGGCAGUC
This 343-nucleotide long non-coding RNA is filed under the name Prunus persica (peach). Its description in RNAcentral is "long non-coding RNA (PPER_LNC008270)". Lineage: Eukaryota; Viridiplantae; Streptophyta; Magnoliopsida; Rosales; Rosaceae. The record is from RNAcentral.